This 921-nucleotide long non-coding RNA is filed under the name Lupinus angustifolius (narrow-leaved blue lupine). RNAcentral's name for it is "long non-coding RNA (LANG_LNC001607)". The stretch from base 646 to 751 matches the Rfam family "mir-393 microRNA precursor family". Lineage: Eukaryota; Viridiplantae; Streptophyta; Magnoliopsida; Fabales; Fabaceae. The record is from RNAcentral.
CAAUUUUUUUUAUUCAUGUGACAAUAUAAGAUGAAUUGAUCUAUAACUUAUGACAGGAAAUGAUACACUUUAAGGGCAAGUAAUCUAUGUCACUAGUUCAUCUUAUAAAGCUGGAACAUAAAAAGUAGCAUGUUCUGACUUCUGAUUUUAAGGUACGUUGGUGCCCAGCUCUAGAUGCUGAACUCACUCUGACGUCUGAAACAUAUGUACUGACAUUCAUGGUAAACUACUUUGGUAAAAUAUGCAUGUAACAACUAUAACAUGAAAAAAUACCUAAUGAGAUAGCACUUUCAUCUACAAUAUUUUACCUCGGUAGAUCCAGCCACCCAGGACUUAAGAACUUAAUAUAUCUCAGAAAGUUUUAUAUUUGGAAUAUGAAUUCAACCACGUUCAGCUUCAUAAGUCAUAACCACAUCCAUGGCUACAAAAUUAUUUUCCUACAAACAAUUGUAACAAACUCACCUUAACCAUAAUUUAAAAGAAUGAAUUGAUGGAGGGAUAGAAAAGAGUAAGGGAAUUGUCAAAUGCAAAAGGGUUAACAAGGUAUAUAUGGACUUACAGAAAUCAUAUAUCCCAUGAUUUGUUUGAUUUGUUUCAGCUACAGAAUGCAAAGGGAUAGAGGUUGUCAUCAUAGUAGAAGCCACCAAAGGAGGAAUCCAAAGGGAUAGCAUGAUCCCAAAUAUUUUGAAAAGGGAAAGAGAAAUUUAAGAAUGAAAUUUGGGAUCAAUGCGAUCCCUUUGGAUGUCUCCUCUAGUUGCAGUGGAAUAUAAACCAAACUUUGCCUUCUUAAUUCUUCAAAGGUUCAGAAGUAAAGUGUUCUCUCCUUCUGUGGCUGUAGUGUGUGAGGGAAAGUGGAUGGCUCUUAGUUUUGCUGCUUUGAAGGAGUGGUUUUCGAUGGAAAGGAGAACUAGUCCUUAUAUA